This 86-nucleotide small nuclear RNA is filed under the name Capra hircus (goat). Lineage: Eukaryota; Metazoa; Chordata; Mammalia; Artiodactyla; Bovidae. The record is from RNAcentral.
NACUAAAAAUUGGAACAAUACAGAGAAGAUUAGCAUGGCUCCUGCGCAAGGAUAACACGCAAAUUCAUGAAGCAUUCCAUAUUUUU